UUCGGGGCGAAGAAUAUAGAAGUUAGUGGCGGACGGGUGCGUAACGCGUGGGUAAUCUGCCUUUGUCAAAGGAAUAACUAUUCGAAAGAAUAGCUAAAACCGUAUAACAUAUUAAUAGGGCAUCCUAAUAAUAUCAAAACGAUAGUGGACAAAGAUGAGCCCGCGUCUGAUUAGCUAGUUGGUGAGAUAAAAGCCCACCAAGGCAACGAUCAGUAGCCGACCUGAGAGGGUGAACGGCCACAUUGGAACUGAGACACGGUCCAAACUCCUACGGGAGGCAGCAGUGGGGAAUAUUGCACAAUGGGGGGAACCCUGAUGCAGCAACGCCGCGUGAGUGAAGAAGGCAUUCGUGUCGUAAAACUCUGUAGUAGGGGAAGAAAGAAAUGACAGUACCCUAAAAGAAGCCCCG
Molecule: ribosomal RNA, 409 nt
Filed under: Filifactor alocis
Lineage: Bacteria; Bacillati; Bacillota; Clostridia; Peptostreptococcales; Filifactoraceae
Description: bacterial SSU rRNA
Rfam family: Bacterial small subunit ribosomal RNA
Source: RNAcentral